Nannospalax galili (Upper Galilee mountains blind mole rat) is the source of this 2863-nucleotide RNA transcript. It is a transcript of the gene named chromosome unknown C15orf62 homolog, with no coding region annotated. The transcript has 2 exons. Lineage: Eukaryota; Metazoa; Chordata; Mammalia; Rodentia; Spalacidae. The record is from RefSeq and is a predicted model, not a curated record.
GCUCUGCUAAUGAGGGCCUGUCAUCCAGCCCCAAGGCUGAGUCACCCACACCAGCAGGUCUCUCUUCCUUCCCCAGCAAUUGUUCCAAAAGCUCACCUUUCAAUUAGUACACCUCCCUGGGUUCCUCCCAGAGAUAUUUGGGGCUACAGAGCCCGGCAGGCCUGCUGGGGUCAAGGUGGUGGGGCUGUGACUAGAAAGGAAGCAAGCUAGUGACACACCAAGCAGGGCUGUCCCCAGAGGAAUCCAAAGCUUCCCACUGCCCUGGGGUGUUGGUCACAGGUGCCCCAAUCCCAGCCUGGCCUACUGAUGCUACAAUUACCUCAGAGCAUGAAACCGGCUUCCCACCUGACUGAGUCAGCUGAAAACAAAAUAUAUCUCUCUACCACACACUGGCAUAAACAGCCAAGCCACUAAUCAGUCCCACAGCUGCCGGCAGAGAGGACACAGUCCUACAUUGACCAGGAGACAGGGCACACGCUGGGAGCCACCAGAGAGAGGAUGAGCAGGGGCCCAGCUGCCACUGACCUGUGGAAAGUUCACAUGCUCCCCUGCCAGCAGUGAAGGUUCUGCCCUGCCACCUGGCUGCCCUGCCUAUACCUUGUUCCUGCUCUGCUCCGUAAGUGCUGCUUCUUACUCUGUCAUUUGCCUCCCCCCACACGUCUAUCAAGUAACCGGCCACUCUCAUCCAGGUGGGAACUUUUGUUCCCUGGUGCUCUGCUCUCCAGGCCUUGUCUCACCACCAAGAUGCAGGUCAGAGGACCACGCUGAGCAGAAAGCACUGUUUGUUUCUAGCCGGUGAGGGCUCUCCCUGGUUCUUGGCAUUCAGAACUCUGGCAGGUACCAAAUGGUCUCUAGCUGCUCUUGAACUCCUCUAUGGGCUUCUUAGGUACCAGGUCUGACUGCUGACUCCCAGGAGUCCCAUGGAGACUUGGCGGAAAGGCUCCUUCCGCAAUGCCUCCCUCUUCAAGCGACUGACCCUGGGGCGGCCACGGCGACUUCGGCGACAGGGCAGCGUGCUUAGCCAGGCCAGCACUGCUGGUGGCGACCAUGAGGAGUACAGCAACCGAGAAGUCAUCAGAGAACUGCAAGGGAGGCCAGAUGGCCGGCGCCUGCCCUUGUGGGGGGACGAGCAGCCCCGAGCCACCCUGCUGGCUCCACCCAAGCCCCCUCGCCUCUACCGAGAGAGCUCCAGCUGCCCCAACAUUCUGGAGCCCCCAGCUACCUACACUGCUGCCUACACUGCUACCCUGCCCUCAGCGAUCUCCCUGGCAGGCCCCCUCCACCAAUUCUCAGAGGAGGACCUUUCAGACACUUCCCAUUUCCCAAGGACACCUGCUCCGGACCUCAGUGAUCCUUUUUUCUCCUUCAAAGUGGACCUAGGGAUUUCACUUCUGGAGGAAGUUCUACAGAUGCUGAGGGAGCAAUUCCCCAGUGAGCCCCGCUUCUGACCCAGCUGAGGGUGGCAAAGCUGGGGUGAGUGGAGGAGUGGAGCCUGAAGACCCAGGGAAGAGAGGAGAACUGGAUCAGUGAAUGGACACUAUACCAUGAAGAGGCUCUAGAAUCCUCCACCAGGACUGUGGGGCUCUACCUUACCCAAACCAGGCCAAGACCUCAAGUUGUGCUACUGCCCCACCCUGUGGCCUAGCCAGAAGAUCUGAAUCCAGAACUCCAGCAGCACUUGGUUGGACAAUGUGGGUCUGAACCCCAGGUCUCUCCCAGGGUGAGAAGGCAGAGGGAAGCUUUGACAUGCUGUCUCCACAAAUCAAAGCGUUCCUCUUUCUUCCUCUUGUGUGGAGGUGCUGAGCAAAAAGUUUCCUCUGGAUCCAGGAGACAAUAAAGUUUUUUCUAACAUGACCAAUGGAGUGUUACCUGGGCUGUGAAAUGCUGGGACUUAAAGAUGAGGAAAUAAAGCCUCUUUUAAUACAGGGUCCUGAGCUGGGCUUAGGCUACUUCAUGUUUCUCCUCUGUCCAGGGUCUGGGACACAUUCCCAGAAAGCUUCCAAUGCCUUAGGAAGGUGUUGAGACAGGUAAUGGAGCAGAGAUCCUGCUAACCUGCUGAGAGGCUCUGGACCCAACAAUACCCAGGCUGUUUCUGAAAAGGAAAAAGCCAGGCUGCUGGCUCCUGCCCCCCAAACAGUCAAUCCCUCCAAUAUGGAGAACAGCAGUGUCAAGGAGCCCUGUGCCCCAGCCUUUGUAGUCAGAUUGAAAAACAGUGGGCCAUGGGGGCCAGGGUGAACACAAGCCACUGUGGAGUUGCAAAGACUAAGGCAGCCCUGGACCCACUCAGCUGGAAGGUACACACUGCCACAAGGGGGGCACCAUAGCACCCCAGGUUCUGCAUGGGACUGAUGCCAUUUUUAGAGAUGUGCUUCUUCAGAGUCAGUCCGUGAGUAGGCAGCCAGAGACACCCCUGGAAAACUGAAGUACUGGGGAAAGACACAGCUGCCCUCCUUACUUGCCUGCUACGCCUUCUGCCCAGCACUGGGCUGUCUAAGCUCAAAUCCUUUAUAUCACACCAAGAGCCACCAGGCAAGAGGUGCCCUCUCGGGGGGAUGAGAGUGCCAACAGGAGAUGUACAUGGAAGAUAAGGUCCAACCUUUGGGUAGGCCUGGAAGUGUACCUCAGUGACGGAAUGUAGGCUAAGCAUGAGUGAGACCCCAGGUUUGAUCCCAUGGUCAGGGAAAAAAAAAAGAAAGAAAAUUAUAUGGUAUAGGGUCCCUCUUGUCUUCAGAGAACAGGGAUCAGCAGGAAAUCAGCCUUCCUGCUUGGGCUACUGGACCUACCAAUCUAUUCAACACCCACCAAUCUGGACUUGGGAAGAAAGGGCCUGAGAGUAGAAGAGGAUGGCCCCAAACCCCCAGCA